Non-coding RNA from Nothobranchius furzeri (turquoise killifish), 1485 nucleotides. The record is from RefSeq and is a predicted model, not a curated record. Lineage: Eukaryota; Metazoa; Chordata; Actinopteri; Cyprinodontiformes; Nothobranchiidae.
CGCUGCUGGAUCCGCAGCUCACCUGAGCAUAACAGCAGCUUGCUGAUGCCAGUGACGUCACACUGGCGUAUCGGUGCACGUGUAAUAGGUCUGUAGAGCAGUCGCUACACCACACCAGGGUCUCCGUCUGGACCUAGACCAUGACCUAGACCCAUAACAACAAACCUGCUGUAACCCAUACCGAGCUGGCAGGGUCGUAGCAAGCUUUGGACAUUUCAUAUUAAAAAGCAUCAGUCUGGUGCGUUUAGAGAAAAAAGUAGAGCUACAGGCUGGUGAGAAUAAUAAUAAUAAUAAUAAUAAUAAUAAUAAUAAUAAUAACAAUAAUAAAGCCCUUCAUUGUCUCUCAUUGAGGAAAUUCUGGUGCACCGGCAGCAAAGUUACAGGUAAGUUAAGAAAAACAGAUUCACACAAAGAAAAAUAAGAAUAGAAUAGAGAUUGUAUAUUAUUUAUAGCAAGGAUGUUGUAAUGACACAAAUAUAUUGUAUAAGAUGUUAUAAUAGCAGCAUGAGACUAGAGAUGAAAACAUGUACAAUCAUCCAGUGUUGGACUCAGAUUCUGUGCCACUGAGGCAAAAACUGAAAAGGGAUUAUUGCUUUGAUCAAUGUGCAAAUAUAUGUGUUCAUAAAGACUGUACAAAGAACAGCAGACAAACAACUGCAUGAUAAAGUAUCUCUACAUGUUCACGGUAUUCUAAUAUUAUGUAUAUGUGAUUGAUUAUAUAUCCUGUCCUGUCUUUAAUCCACUUUGAACACCGACUACAGCGAAGUCCUCUGAUGCAUCCAUGCUGCUCAGUACUGCGCUAGCCUAACCUGGAGAGGUAGUGUGUUCCAAAGUUUUGGGGCACAGAUAGAAAAAGGCCCGCGGAUCUUCUAACAUGCCUUAGGGACGGUGAGGAGGAGCUGAUCUGCAGGUCUAGGAGCACGAGGAGGGUGGUAGAAAUGAAGGAGUUUGCUCAGAUAGGGAGGUGCCUUACUGUCCAGCAAUUUGAAUGCAAGAAUGGGCAACCAAUGGGGUGAUUUAAAGAGCGGGUCAAUUGAGCCUCGGAGUCCUUCUCCACCCACGUAUCAAUUUUAAAAAAUGCAACAUUAGUAGGCGUUGCCUGGAGGACCGAGAGGGCGGAGCCGCGGCAGUGACGAAGACGAUGGCUAACUAGACGAAGCUAGCUCCCUUCACUCUUGAGCAGUUAUUAGAAGUGGAGGACGUUUCUCCCCCCUCCUUACACAGACACUCGAGAAGAAAGGGACCAAGUCUAUUUGGAGGAGACAAGCGGACCUGAGUCUUAUUGUUUUGAGCUUGUGAGUUGCCUGAAACUCCCAGAACCGACCCAACAGAAUCACCUCUGAAAGGUCCUCUGGUGUCUGCAGGUGGUCUCUGGUGUCUGCAGCUGGUCUCUGCUGGUGUCAUCAGGAUCAGGAGCUUCCAGAAGAAUGUGCCUUUCAAUGACUCUUUCCCCCUUAUUUGUUAUAUUAAUUAAAUAAAUGUCAA